RNAcentral lists this long non-coding RNA (420 nucleotides) under Brachypodium distachyon (stiff brome). Its description in RNAcentral is "long non-coding RNA (BDIS_LNC005608)". The record is from RNAcentral. Lineage: Eukaryota; Viridiplantae; Streptophyta; Magnoliopsida; Poales; Poaceae.
GUCACAAUUGCAUGUUUGAAUUCAAACUUGAAUCUCAAAAGGCUUUAAAAGUUUUUAUUUCAACUUGAACCUUAGGGUUUUACACCCAUUUGAACUUUGGAUCUUCAAACCAAUAGGUUUUGUGUAUAAAAGGGGUUUAAUGCAUAUAUAAGCUAUCCCAUAAUUUUUGGAUAAUCAUUGGAGUUGAAAAAGUAUUUUCUUUAAAUAGAUAUAUGGCCCUAAAGGCAUUUAUAGGGCAAAUGUAUUUUUAUGUAUUUUAUUUUGAAUAGAAACUACUCCCAAAAGUUGUAACAUGGUAGAACAUGAUUUUACAAAUUUUCUGGAAUUUAUUUGGACCAAUUUGGAGUUCAAAAUCAAAAGAUAUCAAAGAGAUGAGAAAAGCAGAAAAAGAAAAGCCUAUAAGGAAAAAAAAGGGGGGAA